UGGUAGUAAGUUUAAUUACUAAUAGAUUUUGGUUAACAAUCUAGAUUGGAUCUAAAACUUUAAUAAGUCUAGCUGCAGAAAGAGGUAUAACAUAAAAAUUUGACAUGAUAAAUUUUAUUAUGUUUAUUAUAUUUUACUAUCUAUGAAACUAUAUUUAUACAUAGUAUUUUAGUAAAGAUUUGAAUAUAUAAGUGGAACCUUAGUUGAAAGAAGCAACACAAUUUAUCUCAAAUUAUUAAAGGUAAAUCAUAAAAACUCCUCCUCAACUUUAGGUUAAUUUUACUUAUGCCUCCUUGACUUUAAAAAGUAUCAAACUAGCCUUUUAAAUUUUUGAUAUAAUCCAAAAUGAUCCUACUAUUUAUUUUCAAUAAAUGGUGUUAACUUAUCAUUUCAAUGGAUGAAAAUAUUCCUCACUCAUAUGAGAGAGAUUGUUGGUGAGGAAGAGAUGGAGGUGGAGGUGGAGGAAGCCACCAUAAAAUGAGAGGAUGGGAUCGCAGAGAUUGGCAUGGAGGAGGAGAUGACAUCAAAAGUCUCAUGGAUAGGAUUGGAAGAAGAAAAAAUUGUGAUAAGGAAUGGAAGGAGAGAGAAAGAAAAAUCACUGGCA
RNAcentral lists this long non-coding RNA (604 nucleotides) under Elaeis guineensis (African oil palm). Its description in RNAcentral is "long non-coding RNA (EGUI_LNC030537)". Lineage: Eukaryota; Viridiplantae; Streptophyta; Magnoliopsida; Arecales; Arecaceae. The record is from RNAcentral.